GUCUAUGGCCAUACCCGAUUGUGUCACAUCUCAGAAGCUAAGCAAGAACAAGUCUGGUCAGUAUUUGGAUGGGAGAUUGUUGGUAAUACCAGGUGCCACAGUAG
This 104-nucleotide ribosomal RNA is filed under the name Periophthalmus magnuspinnatus. The record is from RNAcentral. Lineage: Eukaryota; Metazoa; Chordata; Actinopteri; Gobiiformes; Gobiidae.